UGGGGAAUUUUGGACAAUGGGGGAAACCCUGAUCCAGCCAUCCCGCGUGUGCGAUGAAGGCCUUCGGGUUGUAAAGCACUUUUGGCAGGAAAGAAACGUCAUGGGUUAAUACCCCGUGAAACUGACGGUACCUGCAGAAUAAGCACCGGCUAACUACGUGCCAGCAGCCGCGGUAAUACGUAGGGUGCAAGCGUUAAUCGGAAUUACUUGGCGUAAAGCGUGCGCAGGCGGUUCGGAAAGAAAGAUGUGAAAUCCCAGAGCUCAACUUUGGAACUGAAUUUUUAACUACCGGGCUAGAGUGUGUCAGAGGGAGGUGGAAUUCCGCGUGUAGCAGUGAAAUGCGUAGAUAUGCGGAGGAACACCGAUGGCGAAGGCAGCCUCCUGGGAUAACACUGACGCUCAUGCACGAAAGCGUGGGGAGCAAACAGG
RNAcentral lists this ribosomal RNA (429 nucleotides) under Acidobacteriota bacterium. RNAcentral's name for it is "Acidobacteria bacterium partial 16S ribosomal RNA". It matches the Rfam family "Bacterial small subunit ribosomal RNA", at positions 355 to 776 of the family's 1533-position model. The record is from RNAcentral. Lineage: Bacteria; Pseudomonadati; Acidobacteriota.